This 296-nucleotide ribosomal RNA is filed under the name uncultured Geobacillus sp. Its description in RNAcentral is "partial 16S ribosomal RNA". It matches the Rfam family "Bacterial small subunit ribosomal RNA", at positions 1082 to 1382 of the family's 1533-position model. The record is from RNAcentral. Lineage: Bacteria; Bacillati; Bacillota; Bacilli; Caryophanales; Anoxybacillaceae.
AAGUCCGCACGAGCGCACCUCGCCUCUAGCUGCCAGCAUUCGGUUGGGCACUCUAGAGGGACUGCCGGCGACAAGUCGGAGGAAGGUGGGGAGUGACGUCAAAUCAUCAUGCCCCUUAUGACCUGGGCUACACACGUGCUACAAUGGGCGGUACAAAGGGCUGCGAACCCGCGAGGGGGAGCGAAUCCCAAAAAGCCGCUCUCAGUUCGGAUUGCAGGCUGCAACUCGCCUGCAUGAAGCCGGAAUCGCUAGUAAUCGCGGAUCAGCAUGCCGCGGUGAAUACGUUCCCGGGCCUU